This 307-nucleotide ribosomal RNA is filed under the name Tonsilla sp. CL046. Its description in RNAcentral is "partial 12S ribosomal RNA". The record is from RNAcentral. Lineage: Eukaryota; Metazoa; Arthropoda; Arachnida; Araneae; Agelenidae.
AAACUAAUUUAUUUUGGCGGCAUUUUAUAUAAUUAGAGGAAUUUGUCAUAUAAUCGACAAUCCACGAUAAAUUUCACUUUAAUUUAAAAUUUAUAUACCGCCAUCUCAAGAAAAAAUUAAAAAAUAUUUCUCUCAAAAAUAAAUAAAAAGUUAGGUCAAGGUGCAAUCAAUAUUAAAGAUUUAGAUGAAUUACAUUAAAAAUAAUUUAAAGAUUAUAAAUAAAUAUAAUUAUACAAAUAAGAAUUUAAAAGUAAUAUUAAAACAAUAUUAAAAUAUGAUAUAAAAAUUAAAUGUGCACACAUCGCCC